GAUGAAGAACGUAGCGAAAUGCGAUACGUAAUGUGAAUUGCAAAUUCAGUGAAUCAUCGAGUCUUUGAACGCACAUUGCGCCCCCUGGUAUUCCGGGGGGCAUGCCUGUCCGAGCGUCAUUGCUGCCCUCAAGCACGGCUUGUGUGUUGGGCCCCGUCCUCCGAUCCCGGGGGACGGGCCCGAAAGGCAGCGGCGGCACCGCGUCCGGUCCACGAGCGUAUGGGGCUUUGUCACCCGCUCUGUAGGCCCGGCCGGCGCUUGCCGAUCAACCCAAAUUUUUAUCCAGGUUGACCUCGGAUCAGGUAGGGAUACCCGCUGAACUUAAGCAUAUCAAUAAGCGGAGGA
This 345-nucleotide unclassified non-coding RNA is filed under the name soil metagenome. RNAcentral describes it as "partial contains 5.8S ribosomal RNA, internal transcribed spacer 2, and large subunit ribosomal RNA". The stretch from base 1 to 119 matches the Rfam family "5.8S ribosomal RNA", at positions 35 to 154 of the family's 154-position model. The record is from RNAcentral.